AUUGAACGCUGGCGGUAGGCCUAACACAUGCAAGUCGAGCGGCAGCAGAGUAAUUGCUUCUGGAUACAGCGGCCGAGGGGCGAGUGGUGCAUAGGAACAUGCCAAUCUGCGUUUGCGAACGUGCUGAAGUGGGCGCUCUUACCGUAAUAGCCCAGACGACGUACGGGGGGGAUCUUCGGAUCUUCCGCUCUUGGGUGAGCCAAGGUCGGAUUAGCUAGUUGGCGGGGUAAAGGCCUACCAAGGCGACGAUCCGUAACUGGUCUGAGAGGAUGAUCAGUCACACUGGAACUGAGACACGGUCCAGACUCCUACGGGAGGCAGCAGUGGGGAAUAUUGGACAAUGGGCGAAAGCCUGAUCCAGCCAUGCCGCGUGUGUGAAGAAGGUCUUCGGAUUGUAAAGCACUUUUAUUGGGAAAGAAGAGCAGUAGGUUAAUACCUUGCUGUUUUGACGGUACCAAAAGAAUAAGCACCGGCUAACUUCGUG
RNAcentral lists this ribosomal RNA (484 nucleotides) under uncultured bacterium. RNAcentral's name for it is "partial 16S ribosomal RNA". It matches the Rfam family "Bacterial small subunit ribosomal RNA", at positions 30 to 507 of the family's 1533-position model. The record is from RNAcentral.